RNAcentral lists this ribosomal RNA (422 nucleotides) under uncultured bacterium. Its description in RNAcentral is "partial 16S ribosomal RNA". It matches the Rfam family "Bacterial small subunit ribosomal RNA", at positions 359 to 773 of the family's 1533-position model. The record is from RNAcentral.
GAAUAUUGGACAAUGGGGGCAACCCUGAUCCAGCCAUGCCGCGUGUGUGAAGAAGGCCUUUUGGUUGUAAAGCACUUUAAGCAGUGAAGAAGACUCCAUGGUUAAUACCCCUGGACGAUGUCAUUAGCUGAAGAAUAAGCACCGGCUAACCCUGUUCCAGCAGCCGCGGGAAUACAGAGGGUGCAAGCGUUAAUCGCAAUUACUGGGCGUAAAGCGAGAGUAGGUGGCUUGAUAAGUCAGAUGCGAAAUCCCCGGGCUUAACCUGGGAACUGCAGCUGAUACUGUUAGGCUAGAAUAGGUGAGAGGAAGGUAGAAUUCCAGGUGUAGCGGUGAAAUGCGUAGAGAUCUGGAGGAAUACCGAUGGCGAAGGCAGCCUUCUGGCAUCAUAUUGACACUGAGGUUCGAAAGCGUGGGUAGCAAAC